RNAcentral lists this long non-coding RNA (591 nucleotides) under Sorghum bicolor (sorghum). RNAcentral describes it as "long non-coding RNA (SBIC_LNC008950)". Lineage: Eukaryota; Viridiplantae; Streptophyta; Magnoliopsida; Poales; Poaceae. The record is from RNAcentral.
GGGCACCCGGCAAAGGCUCUAAAAUUAUUUUUUUUUUAUUUUUUGAUUCUAUAAUCACAAACACAACAUAUAAUAGAUAUAUAUCACAUCUCUGAUAUCACAAACACAAUAUAGCACAUAUAUAUCGCAUCCAUCUCAUCACAAACUCAAAUCCACAUAUAUAUCACAUCACAAGCACACAAUAUCUCACAUACACGACGACAUAAACAUAAUAGGUUCAAUAUUCAUCUUCACAGCUUACACAAGGUGUUUGGCACACAUGGAUUAACGCAAUGAUGACGCAAACUGGAAUUCAUAACUAAAUAAAGCUACUAAAAAAUUAAUAAAUAAAUCUCCCUAGUUAAGACAAGGUGUAUGGCACACAUAAGAAACAAGAUUAUACAGGGAAUGGAGGACUGGAGACAAUGAUGGUAGAAACUGAAAUCUAAACAAAACAUUCCAUAAGGCAUGAAGUCACUUAUUACCACACGUGGAAGAUUCUGAAGCGUGAAAUGCUCACAAGAAGUUUAUCCUUUCAUGAUCCAGACCUAUAAACAACAGCAAAUAUAAGAAAUCUGCUGGUAGAACACGCCAGCAAAGACCAUAUCGCAC